RNAcentral lists this ribosomal RNA (465 nucleotides) under uncultured bacterium. Its description in RNAcentral is "partial 16S ribosomal RNA". It matches the Rfam family "Bacterial small subunit ribosomal RNA", at positions 338 to 795 of the family's 1533-position model. The record is from RNAcentral.
CCUACGGGGUGCAGCAGUGGGGAAUUUUGGACAAUGGGCGCAAGCCUGAUCCAGCUAUUCCGCGUGUGGGAUGACGGCCCUCGGGUUGUAAACCACUUUAGUAGAGAACGAAAAGGAGCUAUCGAAUAAAUAGCUCUGCUGACGGUACUCUAAGAAUAAGCACCGGCUAACUACGUGCCAGCAGCCGCGGUAAUACGUAGGGUGCGAGCGUUAAUCGGAAUUACUGGGCGUAAAGGGUGUGCAGGCGGCUGAGUAAGACAGAUGUGAAAUCCCCGGGCUUAACCUGGGAACCGCAUAUGUGACUGCUUGGCUAGAGUGCGUCAGAGGGAGGUGGAAUUCCAGGUGUAGGAGUGAAAUCCGUAGAUAUCUGGAGGAACAUCAGUGGCGAAGGCGACUAUCUGGCACAUAACUGACGCUGAGGAGCGAAAGCGUGGGUAGCAAACAGGAUGAGAUACCCCUGUAGUC